GACGAACGCUGGCGGCGUGCUUAACACAUGCAAGUCGAGCGGAAAACUUCGGUUUUCAGCGGCGGACGGGUGAGUAACACGUGGGUAACCUGCCUCAUAGAGGGGAAUAGCCUUUCGAAAGGAAGAUUAAUACCGCAUAAGAUUGUAGUAUCGCAUGAUACAGCAAUUAAAGGAGUAAUCCGCUAUGAGAUGGACCCGCGUCGCAUUAGCUAGUUGGUGAGGUAACGGCUCACCAAGGCGACGAUGCGUAGCCGACCUGAGAGGGUGAUCGGCCACAUUGGGACUGAGACACGGCCCAGACUCCUACGGGAGGCAGCAGUGGGGAAUAUUGCACAAUGGGGGAAACCCUGAUGCAGCAACGCCGCGUGAGUGAUGACGGUCUUCGGAUUGUAAAACUCUGUCUUCAGGGACGAUAAUGACGGUACCUGAGGAGGAAGCCACGGCUAACUACGUGCCAGCAGCCGCCGUAA
This 470-nucleotide ribosomal RNA is filed under the name uncultured bacterium. RNAcentral describes it as "partial 16S ribosomal RNA". It matches the Rfam family "Bacterial small subunit ribosomal RNA", at positions 28 to 523 of the family's 1533-position model. The record is from RNAcentral.